CAUGACCUGAGCCGAAGGCAGAGGCUUAAUCCACUGAGCCACCCAGGCACCCCGGAUAUGAAUAUUUUUGACUAUUUAUAUUUCCAUUUAAAU
Long non-coding RNA from Mustela erminea (ermine), 93 nucleotides. RefSeq lists it as uncharacterized. Lineage: Eukaryota; Metazoa; Chordata; Mammalia; Carnivora; Mustelidae. The record is from RefSeq and is a predicted model, not a curated record. The transcript is spliced from 3 exons.